GGGCGGUUAGCUCAGCCGGUUAGAGCAUCUCGUUUACACCGAGAGGGUCCGCGGUUCGAAUCCGUGACCGCCCACCA
RNAcentral lists this transfer RNA (77 nucleotides) under Bradyrhizobium sp. ISRA426. Its description in RNAcentral is "tRNA-Val". It matches the Rfam family "tRNA". Rfam says of the family: Transfer RNA (tRNA) molecules are approximately 80 nucleotides in length. Their secondary structure includes four short double-helical elements and three loops (D, anti-codon, and T loops). Further hydrogen bonds mediate the characteristic L-shaped molecular structure. tRNAs have two regions of fundamental functional importance: the anti-codon, which is responsible for specific mRNA codon recognition, and the 3' end, to which the tRNAs corresponding amino acid is attached (by aminoacyl-tRNA synthetases). tRNAs cope with the degeneracy of the genetic code in two manners: having more than one tRNA (with a specific anti-codon) for a particular amino acid; and 'wobble' base-pairing, i.e. permitting non-standard base-pairing at the 3rd anti-codon position. The record is from RNAcentral. Lineage: Bacteria; Pseudomonadati; Pseudomonadota; Alphaproteobacteria; Hyphomicrobiales; Nitrobacteraceae. RNAcentral also lists the same sequence under 3 other names.